RNAcentral lists this ribosomal RNA (253 nucleotides) under uncultured Eubacteriales bacterium. RNAcentral describes it as "uncultured Clostridiales bacterium partial 16S ribosomal RNA". It matches the Rfam family "Bacterial small subunit ribosomal RNA", at positions 524 to 776 of the family's 1533-position model. The record is from RNAcentral. Lineage: Bacteria; Bacillati; Bacillota; Clostridia; Eubacteriales.
UACGUAGGGGGCAAGCGUUAUCCGGAAUUACUGGGUGUAAAGGGUGAGUAGGCGGCAUGGUAAGCCAGAUGUGAAAGCCUUGGGCUUAACCCGAGGAUUGCAUUUGGAACUAUCAAGCUAGAGUACAGGAGAGGAUUGCAGAAUUCCUGGUGUAGCGGUGAAAUGCGUAGAUAUCAGGAGGAAUACCGUUAGCGAAGGCGGCAAUCUGGCUGGAAACUGACGCUGAGGUGCGAAAGCGUGGGUAGCAAACAGG